This 420-nucleotide ribosomal RNA is filed under the name Triticum aestivum (bread wheat). Its description in RNAcentral is "partial small subunit ribosomal RNA". The record is from RNAcentral. Lineage: Eukaryota; Viridiplantae; Streptophyta; Magnoliopsida; Poales; Poaceae.
AUGAUGAAACCAACGUUAUUCUGUCUCCAUCAAUCAAGGUGCAUCAUACAGACCUGCAAUGCCCUCUGCACAGGAGCUGCACCGCGAUAUAGAGGCAACAAACUUGGGUGUAUAUUAACUGUACCUGGUAUACAAGGAGACAUGACAAAUGAUCAGGGUUCAAAGUUUCCAAACAACAUUUUUGUAGCAAAAUUCAUUGUGCCACAUAUUGUUUCCUGGCAGGGUAUGGUUAGUAACACUGGUUCCCCUAAGCUUGACUGGUACUGGCUGGAAGUUCGGUUUGUGGGGAACCAGAGCAGAAUCAGAUCUAGCAUGAAUCAUCCGACAAAGCUUGAUUUGAAAUUAUUUGUAAAUGUAUUGCCUAAUAAUGGUGAUGUAUGGACAUCGAGUGAUCGGUGGCAACUCUCUGGUAACCAUUAG